GUGCUCACUUUGGCAGCAUAUAUUCUCAAAUCGGAACCGUAGGGAGAAGAUCGUUGUGGCCCCUGCGCAAGCGUGACAUGCAAAUUCGUGAAGCGCUCCAUGUUUUA
Molecule: small nuclear RNA, 107 nt
Organism: Artibeus jamaicensis (Jamaican fruit-eating bat)
Lineage: Eukaryota; Metazoa; Chordata; Mammalia; Chiroptera; Phyllostomidae
Source: RefSeq, a predicted model, not a curated record